GUGCUUGCUUCAGUUGUACAUGUACUAAAAUUGGAAUGAUAGAGAUUAGCAUGGCUCCUGUGCAAGGAUGACAUGCAAAUUCAGGAAGCGUUUCAUAGGAUC
Jaculus jaculus (lesser Egyptian jerboa) is the source of this 102-nucleotide small nuclear RNA. The record is from Ensembl. NCBI's taxonomy places the organism in Eukaryota, Metazoa, Chordata, Mammalia, Rodentia, Dipodidae.